UACCACCGGUGCCAGCCCGAAUUCCAGCCCUUCUCCAGCUUCCAGUGAAUCACCUGUGCCACCAGCACCUGAUGGGCUGCCACCAGACGGAUCCAGGCCACCGGAGAUGAUUCCAACACUGGACACAUCCACGCUGGGAGAGGGGACAACCCCGCUGCCCAUCCCGCCCACGGAUUAUGCCGCAGUUUCCAUCCAGUCCGUGGCCUCUUCUGUUGGACUCCUGGUGCUGCUGGCCAUUGGAAUUGCGGCCGUCUGCUGCUGGAGGAGGAGGAAGUAAGUGCCAAACCCCUGGAAUGAGUUUUCCAAAGCUUCCAUGCUUUCCAAAGAAAAGCCUUGGAAUGCCACUGAUGCUC
Vidua macroura (Pin-tailed whydah) is the source of this 353-nucleotide long non-coding RNA. RefSeq lists it as uncharacterized. The record is from RefSeq and is a predicted model, not a curated record. NCBI's taxonomy places the organism in Eukaryota, Metazoa, Chordata, Aves, Passeriformes, Viduidae. The transcript has 3 exons.